UCCCCCUUAGGUCUGACCUCAGAAGGC
This 27-nucleotide non-coding RNA is filed under the name Rattus norvegicus (Norway rat). Lineage: Eukaryota; Metazoa; Chordata; Mammalia; Rodentia; Muridae. The record is from RNAcentral.